This 253-nucleotide ribosomal RNA is filed under the name uncultured Eubacteriales bacterium. Its description in RNAcentral is "uncultured Clostridiales bacterium partial 16S ribosomal RNA". It matches the Rfam family "Bacterial small subunit ribosomal RNA", at positions 524 to 776 of the family's 1533-position model. The record is from RNAcentral. Lineage: Bacteria; Bacillati; Bacillota; Clostridia; Eubacteriales.
UACGUAGGGGGCAAGCGUUAUCCGGAUUUACUGGGUGUAAAGGGAGCGUAGACGGCAGCGCAAGUCUGGAGUGAAAUCCCAUGGCUUAACCAUGGAACUGCUCUGGAAACUGUGUAACUUGAGUGCAGGAGAGGUAAGCGGAAUUCCUAGUGUAGCGGUGAAAUGCGUAGAUAUAUGGAAGAACACCAGUGGCGAAAGCGGCUCUCUGGUCUGUAACUGACGCUGAGGUUCGAAAGCGUGGGUAGCAAACAGG